Molecule: non-coding RNA, 149 nt
Organism: Megalopta genalis
Lineage: Eukaryota; Metazoa; Arthropoda; Insecta; Hymenoptera; Halictidae
Source: RefSeq, a predicted model, not a curated record
GGAGAUUUUAUAGCAUUAUCAGAUCCUUGUGAUGAAAUUACAGCUAGACUUAUUUUUAGAGAUGUGUCUGAUGGAAUUAUUGCGCCAGGUUAUUCACAGAGUGCAUUAAGAAUCUUAAAAAAGAAAAAAAAUGGUGCUUAUUGCAUUCU